RNAcentral lists this small nuclear RNA (164 nucleotides) under Cebus imitator (Panamanian white-faced capuchin). Its description in RNAcentral is "U1 spliceosomal RNA (ENSCCAG00000019214.1)". It matches the Rfam family "U1 spliceosomal RNA". From Rfam's summary of the family: U1 is a small nuclear RNA (snRNA) component of the spliceosome (involved in pre-mRNA splicing). Its 5' end forms complementary base pairs with the 5' splice junction, thus defining the 5' donor site of an intron. Lineage: Eukaryota; Metazoa; Chordata; Mammalia; Primates; Cebidae. The record is from Rfam by way of RNAcentral.
AUACUUACCUGGCAGGGGAGAUACCAUGAUCAUGAAGGUGGUUUUCCCAGGGCGAGGCUUAUCUACUGCACUCUGGGUGUGCUGACCCCUGCGAUUUCCCCAAAUGUGGGAAGCUCGACUGCAUAAUUUGUGGCAGCGGGAGACUUCGUUCGUGCUUUCCCCUG